AUCCAGCUCACGAGUCCCAAAUAGAACGGAAUUCGCGUCCUGGAU
This is a non-coding RNA of Schistosoma mattheei, 45 nucleotides long. NCBI's taxonomy places the organism in Eukaryota, Metazoa, Platyhelminthes, Trematoda, Strigeidida, Schistosomatidae. The record is from Rfam.